ACGUAAGGGGCGAGCGUUGUUCGGAAUUAUUGGGCGUAAAGGGCGUGUAGGUGGACUUGCAAGUCGGAUGUGAAAUUUUCGAGCUCAACUUGAAAACUGCGUUCGAAACUACAAGACUAGAGUAUAGUAUAGGGAGACGGAAUUCCUAGUGUAGGAGUGAAAUCUAUAGAUAUUAGGAAGAACACCGAUGGCGAAGGCAGUCUCCUGGACUAAUACUGACACUAAAGCGCGAAAGCUAGGGGAGCAAACGG
Molecule: ribosomal RNA, 251 nt
Filed under: uncultured prokaryote
Description: partial 16S rRNA
Rfam family: Bacterial small subunit ribosomal RNA
Source: RNAcentral